GCGGGAGGAGAGCGUGAGAGAGAGGAAGAGAGAGAGAAAGCGGCAAGCAGAAAGCUCAUAGCUAAGGAGCGAGAGCAGCAUCAGAAGAAGAGGAUCGCUUUAAAAAGGACAAAAUAAGGAAAAAACAAAAAAGGAAACUCACCAGUCCUGCUGAUGGUCAUACGUCAACUUUAAGUGGCUAAAAUCUCAGUGAGUAGGAGAGAGAGAGAAAAGUAAAUUCAUCACCACCAUGAAGCUGUGGAGCCGUGUCUGCUUCCUCGUUCUAGCAGUUUCUCCUAUUUGCCUGGGACAAAAUGGUACAAGUCAUGAGCAACCCAACGGUACAGUUUCUCCUGUCCCCUCAAUCACUGCCAGAUACGUUUUAAAAGGAACUGAAAAUAAGAUGCAAUAUGACACAGACCCUGAGAGUACUACAGCAGAGGAAACAAACAGUAUGCCUGGAGGCACAGUGGCUACUACUCUAACAAGUACUAAUGUACCAACAAAAGAGACUACCAGCAUAGUCACACAAGGAGGAGCACACCGUGGUGGUAAAAUGACUCAAACAACACCAAGUACCAGCUCAGGAACUACAGCACCCCCUCCACCUGGCUCGUCUGCAGGUUAUGUUGUCCUGGCGCUUAUCAUCAUAGUGAUUAUAAUUCUGUGUAUCAUCCUCUACCUCUUGAGGCGAGCCUCCAGGACAUAUUCAUUUGACCUCCAGCGUCCAAAUCCUGUUGGUCAUCUCAACCAGCCCACUGGCACCUUUGAGCCAGUCUACCUGGAUGAUCUGGAGCGACCGGUACCUAAAGAUAUUGAAGCCACCGAUGACCUUUCACCUCCACCGGUCGCUAAUGGCACGAGUCUACAGUCGGAGGAAAAGGACUCCACUGGAGAGAACGCUCCUGAGGAACAGCCAGAAGCAAAUGGUGUGGAGACUUCACCCGCUGAAAACACCACUCCCUCACUGAGUAGCGAUGAAGCUGACAAGAUAUCCAACCCACCGAGCAGUACCAGCCUUUUCUUUGAUGCUAUUGGGGAGCAGCAGAAUGAAAACAACAACAACCCAAGUAAGAUUUUUCUUUAAUAAUGCAAAUACAAACACAAAGCAGUACGGUCAUUUCUCUAUUGCAUUUUCAGAAAUCAUGCAGGACUUGCACGAGAAAGUUUACCAUGAAGCUCCAAAAUAUAACUCGCUUCUAUGUAUGUCUAAAGACAAAACAUGAAAUAUUCACUGAAAUUCUUUGUAUACAUAUGGCUCAACUCUUUAUGGUAAAUGGCCUGUAUUUGUAUAGCGUUUUACUUUACACUACAUCCAGUCAUCCACCCAUUCACACACUGGUGAUGAAGCUACAUUGUAGCCACAGCUGCCCUGGGGCGCACUGACAGAGGCGAGGCUGCCGGACACCGGCGCCACCGGGCCCUCUGCCCACCACCAGUAGGCAACGGGUGAAGUGUCUUGCCCAAGGACACAAUGACUGAGACUGUCGGAGUCGGGGCUCAAACCGGCCACCUUCCGACUACAAUACGAACUGCCAACUCUUGAGCCACAAUUGCCCCUAUAUUUAUUCCAAUAAGUGCUGCUAAACAAAUUGUUUUAUGCGGCAAAGAAAACCUGCCAGUUGUAGUCAACCAUGAUUACAAUUAAAAAUUUAAUAGGCUUUAUCCUUGUCAGACUAUUUACCAUGACAUUCAUGCCGAUAAUGAGUGUAUGGAAACGUCCAACCACAGCUGUAUAUGGGACUCUUACUGUGGUCACUGGUGUAAGGAGUGAUGUGAAUUAUGUCUCCCUCAUCAAUCCCAUCCUCCAAAUGUGGACUUUUUUCCUGAAAUGUUUUUACUUCAUGCAAAAUUCAAAAGGUAGACCUACAGUAGCAACAGGUCAGUGACCAACUGAAGGUAGAGACCAUUUGGCUUUAAAUGAAAAUGUCUGCAUUUUAAAAGUGUUGGCUGCAGAAGUGAUCCAUCAGUUUUACUCUAAAAGUGAACAUUGUCUGUUUCUGUGGCACUUUUUUAAUGUUUUACUGCUGCACAGUGAUUAGGUGUUUGCAGAUAAGUUGGCAUUUUCCAUUUUGCAAUCCACUGUCUUCUUCAAUCCCAAUCUUUGUCCUCUCUCACAGCAGUUUGCUCCAGUGACCCAUUUGUUGAAAUAAACCUGGACGAGCCGGCAUGGUGUGAUCAGCUCCUCAAUUCUUCUGAAGGUUCUUCCUCGGUCUUCCCCUUCUCUCCAUUCUCUUUAUCCUCCUCUUCCUCUUAGCACUUUGAAUGUUAUCCUCUUCCAUCAACAUAUAGGCAGAGAUUGUCUUUCGUAGCACAUGGACAUGAGCACAACAUGUGUUUUUUUUCCCAAAGCUAGUAUGGAUUGUGAAGUGAACAACCAAGGAAUUAACAUCAACCUGUAAACAUGAAGCUAGCUUUAACUGAUUUCUUAUUGUGUUUUUAUAUGUUUUUGUUCAAAUUUAUUGGUCUCAUUUAGUAUUUUUUCUAAGACUAUAUGAAGGACUUUAAACUGAUUUUAAUUGAAUUGUUUGAAACUGAGCAAUUUGGGAAGCUCAAAGAGGCAGUCCAAAAUUGCAUCGAAGAAAAAGAAGGAUUGAAGAAAUGUUAAUCACAACUUUUCCUGCAUUUAACUGACUUAUUAUUAUUGUUGCCUAACCACACUGCAAACUUCAUACCAAAGGAAGUAAAAUAAGCAAGGUAGCUUAUUUGUGACAUCUAGACUAAGCAAUAACGCCUGAACUUUUUUUUUUUUUCCAAAUGUCAUCACUUCAUGAGCGUAUAGAUUGGCUGCAGUUCCUCUCAGAUCUAACAUCCUUUGAAGUAGGCUAAAGUUUUCUCAGAAGAGAUGUUUGGUUUUAAGUCAGAUUAUUUUUGGGGAAAUUAGUGUGUACAAAGUACUCAUAUAGGAAACAGUUGAUUAACUUUUUGUACAGUUUAAUAUUGCAAUAAUAAGUUAUGGUUGUAAUCCCAAGACGCAAAUGGACAUACACAAGAAUGAUGCUUCAUUUGGGAACCACAUCUCAUUACCAAUAAACAUAAAACUAGCUUUAACGCUUCCUUAUGAUUUUUUUGUUUGUUUUAUACAUUAUCAGCACAUCAAACUUAAAUCAAAUGAGUUUUUUCCUAAAAUGUAGCAUUUUUCUACUUCAUUUUAUUUACUAAAGCAUCAUAAAACAAGAUUAAAGUUAACUUUAGCAGUGACAACUGUUACUCUCAAAUUAUCGAUGUAGGCUAGUUUCCCCUAAACCUACAGGGAGAUUUGUGAAAUCUCUGAACUAUAAAAAUACACUCUGUGUCAUAAUUGCUGUAAAUAUUUUUGUACACGAUAUAUUUUUUUUAGUAGAAUACUGUGAAUUAUUCACAUUUAUUCAAGUUCUAUAUUUUAAUUUUGUGACUCUGGAGGUUUCCAUUCUACUAGAUGUUUAAAUGCUUUCGUUUCUUUUAACCUACAUUUAUUUUGUCAUUUUUUUAAUAAACUGGUUUCUUUUCAGAAGCUAACUAAAUAUACAUUUCACCACUGCCAUUUUCCUCAAAGUGCUAAUUCAAACUGAUAUAUAAAUAUAUAAUUUUCUGACUAAUGUUAAAAAAAACAAACAUUGAGAAGUGUUACUUUGUUUCAUGUUAAAAAUCAAAUUGAUUCAAAUAAAACUAUUUUUUUUUCAGAAUUUCACUGUUAUCCCUUCUUCAUUCUUUUUAUUAUCCUGAUGGUUAAAAUGUCUCUCACUUAACUAAUUUUUGGGUUUAAUUCCAUUUGCUGCCUUACUCACACCAAACCUUUUCAGAAAGUCAUCUGUAUAUUCUUUG
Astatotilapia calliptera (eastern happy) is the source of this 3783-nucleotide long non-coding RNA. The record is from Ensembl. Lineage: Eukaryota; Metazoa; Chordata; Actinopteri; Cichliformes; Cichlidae.